GAGUUUGGUGAUGGCUCUGAUUGAAUGCUGUUCAAGUGCUUGACACAUGCUAAUCGAACGUUUUAACUAAUUAGUGAAAAGUUAAAAAGUGGUGUACAGGUGAGUAUAUGGAUAUUAUCAGCCGACCUUAAAGUGGAGAGAAAUCCUUCAUAAAAAAUAAAGAGUUGUUGGGACUCGCUUUAAGAGGAUUAUAGUAUCUUCGGGAUAGGUAGUAGUUAAGGUGAUGGCUUAACUAGCUUAAGUUCUCGUAGUCGAUUCUGAGAGGUUUAUCGGCCACAUUGGGUCUGAAAAAACCCCAAUGCAUAUUAGUACAGCAGUGAGGUAUAUUGGUCAAUGGCCUAACGGCUGAACUGGCAACUUGGGAGAGUGGCAAGCCCUAUUUUGAGCAUAUCUUAGAAUAUGAUCUAUAGGGUUGUAUUAAAAUUGAAUAAAGCUCUGUGUAUAUAUUGAUAAUGACAGUAUAUAUAUUAUGGUCUUGACCAAUUGCGUGCCAGCAGUCGCGGUAAUACGUAAGAGACUAGUGUUAUUCAUCUUAAAUAGGUUUAAAGGGUACCUAGGCGGUCAGGAAAAAAGUAAUAACUUGACUAGAGUUUUAUAGAGGAGGGGAGCACCUAGGGAAGAGGGAUGAAAUCUGCAGAUACUCUGGGGACUCUGUAAAAGCGAAGGCACCCCUCCAGGUAUAAACUGACGUUGAGGGACGAAGGCAAAGGUAAUGAAUAGGAUUAGAGACCCUAGUAGUCUUUGCAGUAAAUGAUGAGUGCCAUAGAUUAGAUUGAGUUAUAAAAAAACGGGUCCUUCAGUAGGAAGUUUUAAUUAAGCAUAUUUGGUCUAUAAAUGAAAGUGUAAGCAUUCCACCUCAAGAGUAAUGUGGCAACGCAGGAACUGAAAUCACUAGACCGUUUCUGACACCAGUAGUGAAGUAUGUUGUUUAAUUCGAUAACCCCCGAAGAAUCUUACCACAGUUUGUAUAAUUUACAGGUGUUGCACGGCUGUUUCCAGUUAAUGUUGUGAAGCUGUGGUUUCCAUGAAAAUAACGAAAUCCCUGGCUUUAUUUAAAAAAUAAAACUAUAAAGCAUAAGAUCCCGGAUAUUGGGGUAGAGAAAGGGGACAAAGACAAGUCAUCAUGGCCCUAAUGCUGUGGGCUAUAGACGUGCUGCAUAUGCCUUGACAAAGAGAUGCAAAAAUGUGAAUUAAAGCUAAUCUUGAAAAAAGGAUAUAAGUGGAUUGUAGUCUGAAAUUCGACUAUAUGAAUUCGUAAUUACUAGUAAUCGUGAAUCACUAUGUCACGGUGAAUGAACCUCGGAUUGGUACUAACCACUCGUCGCAUGCUGAAAGGAGUUUAUGCAAUAAGUUUGCAUUCUU
This 1362-nucleotide ribosomal RNA is filed under the name Ophiocordycipitaceae sp. RNAcentral's name for it is "SSU rRNA". It matches the Rfam family "Bacterial small subunit ribosomal RNA". The record is from RNAcentral. Lineage: Eukaryota; Fungi; Ascomycota; Sordariomycetes; Hypocreales; Ophiocordycipitaceae.